AUGAACGCUGGCGGCGUGCCUAAUACAUGCAAGUCGAGCGAACAGACGAGGAGCUUGCUCCUCUGACGUUAGCGGCGGACGGGUGAGUAACACGUGGAUAACCUACCUAUAAGACUGGGAUAACUUCGGGAAACCGGAGCUAAUACCGGAUAAUAUAUUGAACCUCAUGGUUCAAUAGUGAAAGACGGUUUUGCUGUCACUUAUAGAUGGAUCCGCGCCGCAUUAGCUAGUUGGUAAGGUAACGGCUUACCAAGGCAACGAUGCGUAGCCGACCUGAGAGGGUGAUCGGCCACACUGGAACUGAGACACGGUCCAGACUCCUACGGGAGGCAGCAGUAGGGAAUCUUCCGCAAUGGGCGAAAGCCUGACGGAGCAACGCCGCGUGAGUGAUGAAGGUCUUCGGAUCGUAAAACUCUGUUAUUAGGGAAGAACAAAUGUGUAAGUAACUAUGCACGUCUUGACGGUACCUAAUCAGAAAGACACGGCUAACUACGUG
RNAcentral lists this ribosomal RNA (496 nucleotides) under uncultured bacterium. Its description in RNAcentral is "partial 16S ribosomal RNA". It matches the Rfam family "Bacterial small subunit ribosomal RNA", at positions 29 to 507 of the family's 1533-position model. The record is from RNAcentral.